AGAUUUGCAUAUUACAUUGCAUAGCUAUCUCCUCAACCCUGAUAAGGUUUACAUUCUCUGAUUCUCAUCUACAAGGAUUUGGUUUGUGCAUGCAUUUAUAAGUUCGCUUGAUUAUUUUUGAAUUUUCUUUGGCUAUAGAAUCUUUUUUCAUUUCAGUCCAAGUGGUCCAGAUCAUUUGUUGUACUUAUCUUCUUGGUACAGAUCAAAAUUUUUCGUAGCAGAAA
RNAcentral lists this unclassified non-coding RNA (224 nucleotides) under Hevea brasiliensis (rubber tree). The record is from RNAcentral. Lineage: Eukaryota; Viridiplantae; Streptophyta; Magnoliopsida; Malpighiales; Euphorbiaceae.